Molecule: ribosomal RNA, 498 nt
Filed under: uncultured bacterium
Lineage: Bacteria
Description: bacterial SSU rRNA
Rfam family: Bacterial small subunit ribosomal RNA
Source: RNAcentral
AUUAAACGCUGGCGGCAUGCCUUACACAUGCAAGUCGAACGGCAGCACGGGGGCAACCCUGGUGGCGAGUGGCGGACGGGUGAGUAAAGCAUCGGAACGUAUCCUGGAGUGGGGGAUAACGUAGCGAAAGUUACGCUAAUACCGCAUAUUCUGUGAGCAGGAAAGCAGGGGAUCGCAAGACCUUGCGCUCUGGGAGCGGCCGAUGUCGGAUUAGCUAGUUGGUGGGGUAAAGGCCUACCAAGGCGACGAUCCGUAGCGGGUCUGAGAGGAUGAUCCGCCACACUGGGACUGAGACACGGCCCAGACUCCUACGGGAGGCAGCAGUGGGGAAUAUUGGACAAUGGGCGCAAGCCUGAUCCAGCAAUGCCGCGUGUGUGAAGAAGGCCUGCGGGUUGUAAAGCACUUUCAGUGGGGAAGAACGGAUACGGGCCAAUACCCCGCAUCACUGACGUUACCCACAGAAGAAGCACCGGCUAACUCCGUGCCAGCAGCCGCGGU